CUUUUCUCUUCCACGUCUGGUGGCAGAGGUCAGCUUUCAACUGCAGAGGUAUCUUGGUGUGAAUGUUUUAAAAUAUUUCACUUUAGAAGUGGUUUGGAGAAGUCGGUUUCCAUUUUAAAAUGUGCAUAUGAAUUUGUCUGAUGCUGAGAAUUGAUAAUAAUCCAUAUGAAAUAAUCUGCAAGAUGUACAGUCAAAGUGAGGAAACUGAAGGACAUUUUUCCUUUUCCUUUCUCUGUUAGCUAAUAGAAAGGCCAGUACUGUUCCUCGGUAUACAAGAGAGAAUCUGAAUAAAUAAAUUCUCAUUUUUUUCUUCUACCUGACUUUAUACUCCAUGCUUCCUUGGGGCA
RNAcentral lists this long non-coding RNA (347 nucleotides) under Bos taurus (domestic cattle). RNAcentral's name for it is "long non-coding RNA NONBTAT023857". The record is from RNAcentral. Lineage: Eukaryota; Metazoa; Chordata; Mammalia; Artiodactyla; Bovidae.